RNAcentral lists this unclassified non-coding RNA (172 nucleotides) under Aliivibrio wodanis. The record is from RNAcentral. Lineage: Bacteria; Pseudomonadati; Pseudomonadota; Gammaproteobacteria; Vibrionales; Vibrionaceae.
AACUACAUUAAAAUAAUGCAGCUAUUGCUUGCCUUGCGUUAUUGUGCGCCGAACAUGGCGUUGUUCGAGGAAGUGGCAAUCCUUAUGGGCUCAGUCGAACGAGAACCGUUAGCCUAUACAAGGGUGUUCACCGUGAGGUGAAAUCUGAAGGAAGCAAAUGGCAAAACAUGGU